Molecule: long non-coding RNA, 272 nt
Organism: Balaenoptera musculus (blue whale)
Lineage: Eukaryota; Metazoa; Chordata; Mammalia; Artiodactyla; Balaenopteridae
Exons: 3
Source: RefSeq, a predicted model, not a curated record
AGACCACAGACCUUGAGGGAAGCUCACUCAGGACCUAUUCUUCACCCAGUUUCUCCGGCAAAGUGGUGCUGACGGCGUGAUGAGCUACCUUGUGGAGUCUGCAGUGAGUGGCCCCGCCCCCUACUCAGCGGUGCGACCCGCAGCAGUGAGGCAGGGACCUCUCAGCUCUUACGAAGAUCCUCGAAUGGCCUGUGGUUUCCAGUCUGCUUAUCACCCGCCAAGAGCUUGCUACCCCUUCUGGGAUGAGAUGGCCACUCAGGAAGUGCCCACUG